RNAcentral lists this transfer RNA (59 nucleotides) under Duncaniella sp. RNAcentral describes it as "tRNA-Pro". RNAcentral also lists the same sequence under 1 other name. The record is from RNAcentral. Lineage: Bacteria; Pseudomonadati; Bacteroidota; Bacteroidia; Bacteroidales; Muribaculaceae.
AGCUCAGUUGGUUAGAGUACGCGUCUGGGGGGCGUGAGGUCGCUAGUUCGAGUCUAGUC